CAGGGCUUGGGAUCUGGGAUGGUUCCUCAGCACUGAGCAAGUGGGGUUUUUAUCCCUGUCGUGGGAGAUGGCCGGGUGAGCUGUGCCCCUGGAGUAAAUCCCUUUGGCAGCAGGUGCCAGCUGUUGGGAGAAGGCCAUGGAGGAGCCUGGAGGGCUCCAGUGAUUCCAGUCAUGCACACGUGGUGCUGCUGCAGGAUGGAAACCCCCUCAGAGAUCAGCCCUUGGGCAGGGCAGCUAUUCCUGUGCUCAGUGUCCAUCCAGGAGGGCUGUACCUGGAUCCCAUUCCUAUCCCAUUCCUGUGCUCCCUGUCCAUCCCUAAGGGUUGUACCUGGAUCCUAUUCCUGUGCUCCCUGCCCAUUCACAGGGGCUGUUCACAGAUCCCAUUCCUGUGCUCCUUGUCCAUCCAUAGGGGCUGUUCCUGGAUCCCAUUCCUGUGCUCCCUGCCCAUCCCUAAGGGUUGUACCUGGAUCCUAUUCCUGUGCUCCCUGCCCAUCUGGCUGCACCCAGAGCCACAGAAUCCAGGAAUCCCCUGGCAGGGGGUUGGAAUGAGAUGAUUUUUAAGGCCCUCCCAACCCAAACCGUCCUGUGAUUCUGUGGAAGUCUUUGUUUGGUUGGUUUGUUCUGUUGGGUUCUUUUUUUUUAAUUAUUUUUUUUUUUUUUGUUUAAUCCAUCAAAGGAUACAAAUUGUAUCCAGCUCGUACAAGAAUUCCUUUGUGCGGGAUCCUGUUCUGCAAACCUGCCCUUCAGUCCUGACGAGGUUUGAGGCAAAGGCUCGGGAACAAAAGCUCCCUCAGAGGGGGAGUGGUGGAGCAGAGCAAACCCCGGGCAGGGAGAGCAGCAGCAACGAAAAACCCGGAGAGAAGAAAAGCCAGGGAAGCUGAAAAAAAACCCCAGGAAAGCUGAAGAAAAUCCCAGGAAAGCUGAAAACCCCAGGAAAGCUGAAAAAAACCCAGGAAAGUUGAAAACCCCAGGGCACAACUCAGAGAAGUCAGAGCUGGUUCAGGAAAUGUGAUGACUUUGGAAUCCCAGAAUGGUUUGGGUGGGAAGGGACCUUGAAGCUCAUCCCAUCCCACCCCCUGCCACGGGCAGGGCCACCUCCCACUAGCCCAGGUUCCCCAACCUGGCUGGACCACCAGGGCUG
RNAcentral lists this long non-coding RNA (1141 nucleotides) under Manacus vitellinus (golden-collared manakin). RNAcentral describes it as "lncRNA (ENSMVIG00005019204.1)". The record is from RNAcentral. Lineage: Eukaryota; Metazoa; Chordata; Aves; Passeriformes; Pipridae.